RNAcentral lists this long non-coding RNA (1050 nucleotides) under Nothobranchius furzeri (turquoise killifish). Its description in RNAcentral is "lncRNA (ENSNFUG00015013805.1)". The record is from RNAcentral. Lineage: Eukaryota; Metazoa; Chordata; Actinopteri; Cyprinodontiformes; Nothobranchiidae.
AUGCCUUUCCCGCUAAUAAUACGACUUGAGAUGAUUCACGUUUCAAGGACGCCAGAGUUCUCCAACUGUGGAAAUGUUCAUUUAAUUUCAAACGCAAAAUCUGAUCAGGAUCUGGGCUCCGUGGCAACAGGCAGGAGACAAAGGUCCUGCUCCUACAACGACCCAGAGGACAGAAGGAGCUAUGGUUUAGUCCAGCAUGCAGGAGAAGCCACUCUGAGACCUCGCUCCAGGUCGUUUUACAAUUAUGAGACGUCAGAGCUCUCCUCUGACUCUGACACGGGAAGCUUUUUAAGGUCCAGUCCUCUCAGGCAGAAGUCAAACUCACAACUAAAAUCCUAUUCAUCUAAAAAGGAGGACAAAGAUGGGAAUCGAUUGGCUGGUAAAAUUACCGCCAAGGAGGGCAAACCCAGUAGACACUCACCAUCGAGAGAGCUCAGCGGUAAUCAAAGGAUGUACAGUACAGAUCAAAACUCAAGACACACGUUCUCAUUCAAUGUGUUUUCUUUAUUUUUAUGACCAUUUACAUUGUUAGAUUCUCACUGAAGGCAUCUAAACUAUGAAUGAAAACAUGCAGGGUCAUCUACUUAACCAAAAAAGGUGAAAUAACUGAAAGCAUGUUUUAUAUUCUAUUUUCUUUAAAUUAGCCACCCUUUGCACUGAUUACUGCUUUGCACACUCUUGGUAUUCUCUCGAGGAGCUUCAAGAGGUAGUCACCUGAAAUGGUUUUCCAACCGUGUUGAAGGACUACCUCUUCUAAAUUGAUGCUUGGACAUAAAAAAAAACCAUAUAAAACAUGUUUUCAGUUAUUUCACCUUUUUGGAUUAAGUACAUAACCCUGCAUGUGUUCAUAGUUUAGAUGCCUUCAGUGAGAAUCUACCAAUGUAAAUGGUCAUGAAAAUAAAGAAAACACAUUGAAUGAGAACGUGUGUCCAAAACUGUAAAAUGUUACAGUCUACUUUAUUAGCAAUGUCAAAAAUAACAAAACAUGCAAUAAGUGUGUGUGUGUGUGUGUGCGUGCGUGCGUGUGUGUGUGUGUGUGUGUGUGUGUGU